Molecule: unclassified non-coding RNA, 377 nt
Filed under: uncultured Microbacteriaceae bacterium
Lineage: Bacteria; Bacillati; Actinomycetota; Actinomycetes; Micrococcales; Microbacteriaceae
Description: contains 16S-23S intergenic spacer region
Source: RNAcentral
UCGCGGCUUAUCACCGGCAGUCCCCUUAGAGUGCCCAACUAAAUGAUGGCAACAUAGAACGAGGGUUGCGCUCGUUGCGGGACUUAACCCAACAUCUCACGACACGAGCUGACGACAACCAUGCACCACCUGUUUACGAGUGUCCAAAGAGUUGACCAUUUCUGGCCCGUUCUCGUAUAUGUCAAGUCUUGGUAAGGUUCUUCGCGUUGCAUCGAAUUAAUCCGCAUGCUCCGCCGCUUGUGCGGGCCCCCGUCAAUUCCUUUGAGUUUUAGCCUUGCGGCCGUACUCCCCAGGCGGGGAACUUAAUGCGUUAGCUUCGGCACGGAGGGAGUCGACACCCCCCACACCUAGUGCCCAUCGUUUACGGCGUGGACUAC